This 253-nucleotide ribosomal RNA is filed under the name uncultured bacterium. Its description in RNAcentral is "partial 16S ribosomal RNA". It matches the Rfam family "Bacterial small subunit ribosomal RNA", at positions 524 to 776 of the family's 1533-position model. The record is from RNAcentral.
UACAGAGAGUGCAAGCGUUAAUCGGAAUUACUGGGCGUAAAGCGCACGUAGGCGGAUACUUAAGUCAGAUGUGAAAUCCCCGAGCUUAACUUGGGAAUUGCAUCUGAAACUGGGUGUCUAGAGUAUGGUAGAGGGAAGUGGAAUUUCUGGUGUAGCGGUGAAAUGCGUAGAUAUCAGAAAGAACACCAGUGGCGAAGGCGACUUCCUGGAUCAAUACUGACGCUGAGGUGCGAAAGCGUGGGGAGCAAACAGG